UGGGGAAUAUUGGACAAUGGGGGCAACCCUGAUCCAGCAAUGCCGCGUGUGUGAAGAAGGUCUUCGGAUUGUAAAGCACUUUCGACGGGGACGAUGAUGACGGUACCCGUAGAAGAAGCCCCGGCUAACUUCGUGCCAGCAGCCGCGGUAAUACGAAGGGGGCUAGCGUUGCUCGGAAUGACUGGGCGUAAAGGGCGUGUAGGCGGUUUACACAGUCAGAUGUGAAAUCCCCGGGCUUAACCUGGGAGCUGCAUUUGAUACGUGUAGACUAGAGUGUGAGAGAGGGUUGUGGAAUUCCCAGUGUAGAGGUGAAAUUCGUAGAUAUUGGGAAGAACACCGGUGGCGAAGGCGGCAACCUGGCUCAUGACUGACGCUGAGGCGCGAAAGCGUGGGGAGCAAACAGGAUUAGAUACCCUGGUAGUCCACGCUGUAAACGAUGUGUGCUAGAUGUUGGGUAACUUUGUUAUUCAGUGUCGCAGUUAACGCGUUAAGCACACCGCCUGGGGAGUACGGCCGCAAG
Molecule: ribosomal RNA, 520 nt
Filed under: uncultured bacterium
Lineage: Bacteria
Description: partial 16S ribosomal RNA
Rfam family: Bacterial small subunit ribosomal RNA
Source: RNAcentral